RNAcentral lists this ribosomal RNA (857 nucleotides) under uncultured bacterium. RNAcentral describes it as "SSU rRNA". It matches the Rfam family "Bacterial small subunit ribosomal RNA", at positions 524 to 1381 of the family's 1533-position model. The record is from RNAcentral.
UACGGGAGUGGCAAGCGUUAUCCGGAAUUAUUGGGCGUAAAGCGUCCGCAGGCGGUCUUAUAAGUCUGCUGUUAAAGCGUGGAGCUUAACUCCAUUUCGGCAGUGGAAACUGUAAGACUAGAGUGUGGUAGGGGCAGAGGGAAUUCCCGGUGUAGCGGUGAAAUGCGUAGAUAUCGGGAAGAACACCAGUGGCGAAGGCGCUCUGCUGGGCCAUAACUGACGCUCAUGGACGAAAGCCAGGGGAGCGAAAGGGAUUAGAUACCCCUGUAGUCCUGGCCGUAAACGAUGAACACUAGGUGUCGGGGGAAUCGACCCCCUCGGUGUCGUAGCCAACGCGUUAAGUGUUCCGCCUGGGGAGUACGCACGCAAGUGUGAAACUCAAAGGAAUUGACGGGGGCCCGCACAAGCGGUGGAGUAUGUGGUUUAAUUCGAUGCAACGCGAAGAACCUUACCAGGGUUUGACAUCCUGCGAAUCUCUUGGAAACGAGAGAGUGCCUUCGGGAACGCAGUGACAGGUGGUGCAUGGCUGUCGUCAGCUCGUGUCGUGAGAUGUUGGGUUAAGUCCCGCAACGAGCGCAACCCACGUCGUUAGUUGCCAGCAUUUAGUUGGGCACUCUAGCGAGACCGCCGGUGAUAAACCGGAGGAAGGUGUGGAUGACGUCAAGUCAUCAUGCCCCUUACAUCCUGGGCUACACACGUACUACAAUGCUACGGACAAAGGGCAGCAAACUCGCGAGAGCUAGCAAAUCCCAUAAACCGUGGCUCAGUUCAGAUCGUAGGCUGCAACUCGCCUACGUGAAGGAGGAAUCGCUAGUAAUCGCAGGUCAGCAUACUGCGGUGAAUACGUUCCCGGGCCU